This 378-nucleotide ribosomal RNA is filed under the name uncultured bacterium. RNAcentral's name for it is "bacterial SSU rRNA". It matches the Rfam family "Bacterial small subunit ribosomal RNA", at positions 362 to 758 of the family's 1533-position model. The record is from RNAcentral.
UAUUGGACAAUGGGCGCAAGCCUGAUCCAGCCAUGCCGCGUGGAUGAUGAAGGCCUUACCGUUGUAAAGUCCUUUUAACGGGGAAGAUAAUGACGGUACCCGUAGAAUAAGCCCCGGCUGACUUCGUGCCAGCAGCCGCGGUAAUACGAAGGGGGCUAGCGUUGCUCGGAAUUACUGGGCGUAAAGCGCACGUAGGCGGGUUCUUAAGUCGGUGGUGAAAUCCUGGAGCUCAACUCCAGAACUGCCUUCGAUACUGGGAAUCUUGAGUCCGGGAGAGGUGAGUGGAACUGCGAGUGUAGAGGUGAAAUUCGUAGAUAUUCGCAAGAACACCAGUGGCGAAGGCGGCUCACGGCCCGGUACUGACGCUGAGGUGCGAAA